AGCGAACGCUGGCGGCAGGCCUAACACAUGCCAGUCGAACGAACUCUUCGGAGUUAGUGGCGGACGGGUGAGUAACACGUGGGAACGUGCCUUUUGGUUCGGAAUAACUCAGGGAAACUUGUGCUAAUACCGAAUGUGCCCUUCGGGGGAAAGAUUUAUCGCCAUUAGAGCGGCCCGCGUCUGAUUAGCUAGUUGGUGAGGUAACGGCUCACCAAGGCGACGAUCAGUAGCUGGUCUGAGAGGAUGACCAGCCACACUGGGACUGAGACACGGCCCAGACUCCUACGGGAGGCAGCAGUGGGGAAUCUUGCGCAACGGGCGAAAGCCUGACGCAGCCAUGCCGCGUGAAUGAUGAAGGUCUUAGGAUUGUAAAAUUCUUUCACCGGGGACGAUAAUGACGGUACCCGGAGAAGAAGCCCCGGCUAACUUCGUG
This 433-nucleotide ribosomal RNA is filed under the name uncultured bacterium. RNAcentral's name for it is "partial 16S ribosomal RNA". It matches the Rfam family "Bacterial small subunit ribosomal RNA", at positions 29 to 507 of the family's 1533-position model. The record is from RNAcentral.